Molecule: small nuclear RNA, 107 nt
Filed under: Jaculus jaculus (lesser Egyptian jerboa)
Lineage: Eukaryota; Metazoa; Chordata; Mammalia; Rodentia; Dipodidae
Source: RNAcentral
GUGCUUGCUUUGACAGCACAUAUACUAAAAUUGAAAUGAUACAGAGAAGAUUAACAUAGCCCCUGAGCAAGGAAGACAUGCAAAGUCAUGAAGUGUUCCAUUAAAAA